CAGCAGCCGCGGGAAUACGUAGGUGGCAAGCGUUGUCCGGAAUUAUUGGGUGUAAAGGGCUCGCAGGCGGUCUCUUAAGUCUGAUGUGAAAGCCCCCGGCUCAACCGGGGAGGGUCAUUGGAAACUGGGAAACUUGAGUGCAGAAGAGGAGAGUGGAAUUCCACGUGUAGCGGUGAAAUGCGUAGAGAUGUGGAGGAACACCAGUGGCGAAGGCGACUCUCUGGUCUGUAACUGACGCUGAGGAGCGAAAGCGUGGGGAGCGAACAGGAUUAGAUACCCCGGUAGUCCCUGUCUCUUAUAC
RNAcentral lists this ribosomal RNA (301 nucleotides) under uncultured bacterium. RNAcentral describes it as "partial 16S ribosomal RNA". It matches the Rfam family "Bacterial small subunit ribosomal RNA", at positions 509 to 807 of the family's 1533-position model. The record is from RNAcentral.